AAGAACUCCAAAAAACAAAAGCUUGGAACUUGUGAAGGAAGAAGCUUAAUAUUUGCUAUGGUUGGAGGUUAGUGUCAUGAUCCUUAUUAGAUGAUGGUAGGUUUAUCUGCCAGGAAACAAAAAUGCACUAUUAUUAUUAAAUCAUAGUUGAUAUUUGCCUAUACUUAUUUAUUUUUGCUUCCAUUAUUAUUCAUUAGUUAUAUAUAUGUACAUGCAUACAAUGUACAUGCAUACAUUGUGGUCAUGGAAGAAAAAACAACAUUUUGACAUAAACAGUACCACACACAUAAUUAGUACUGCAAACAACUUCGUUGUAAUCGCUGAUGAUAAUCUUGAUGAUUCACAAAUGGUAGUGCAUACUGACAAAACUACUUUGGAGAAACAAUCCCUGGUAGGGGAAGAUGUGUGUCAGGAAGUCCAAUUUGACAAUAAUUUUGAACUUGAUGCGGUUAAAACCUAUGUGUGAAAUUCUUAGUUUGGAAUAUCAUGGGGUUUAAUGUCUCUAGGGAUUUUGAUCUUUUUCAAUUCCUUCAUGCUGCACCUCAUCACUUCACUCACCUAUGUGAGAAAGGGGGAGGGAGGGGUGGUUCAUGAGAUUUUGUGAGUUUCUUCUUCUAUGACGUGUUUAAUGAGCCAUGAACUGCUUGAUGUUCAUAGGGUACCUAGAAUGGUUACGAAUUUUGUUCAUGAACAGAGGUUCCUAUGUUAAAAAAAGAAAUAAAGAAAAAAUAGAAAAGAAUAUAUAUAAAAAAAACACUACCUUUUUCUAUUUUCAAUGUUAAUUGAUUAAUGAUCUCUCUCUUUCUACAUCUUCAUUCAUGUGAUUUUUGGCUUGCCAUUAACUCCUCUGGCUCUAUGAAGGCUCCUCUCCUUUGCUAUUUUUUAGGGAGUGGCUUGGCUAAUGACAUUGCUGGUUUUUUUUAGGUGGUGGAUGUUCUCUUUUGAUUAGGGUGGAGCGACGGGAUGGCUAUAGGCGGAGGGAUGUCUCUCAAGAUUGAUGUCUGAGUGACAAUUGGAUGGAGGAUUAAUACCUUGGGGUUCAGGGGCUGUGCUACUGUGUUUCUUUGGAGGCUGUGUUUUGGAAGUUUGUG
This 1091-nucleotide long non-coding RNA is filed under the name Theobroma cacao (cacao). RNAcentral's name for it is "long non-coding RNA (TCAC_LNC002626)". Lineage: Eukaryota; Viridiplantae; Streptophyta; Magnoliopsida; Malvales; Malvaceae. The record is from RNAcentral.